Molecule: ribosomal RNA, 478 nt
Filed under: uncultured bacterium
Lineage: Bacteria
Description: partial 16S ribosomal RNA
Rfam family: Bacterial small subunit ribosomal RNA
Source: RNAcentral
GACGAACGCUGGUGGCGUGCUUAACACAUGCCAGUCGAACGGGAUUUAGUAAACAGAAGCCUCGGUGGAAGAUUACUAAUGAGAGUGGCGAACGGGUGAGUAACGCGUGAGCAACCUGCCUAUGACAGUGGGAUAGCCUCGGGAAACCGGGAUUAAUACCGCAUAAAAUCGUAGAAACACAUGUUUUAACGGUCAAAGAUUUAUCGGUCAUAGAUGGGCUCGCGUCUGAUUAGCUAGUUGGUGAGAUAACAGCCCACCUAGGCGACGAUCAGUAGCCGGUCUGAGAGGAUGAACGGCCACAUUGGAACUGAGACACGGUCCAAACUCCUACGGGAGGCAGCAGUGGGGAAUAUUGCACAAUGGGGGAAACCCUGAUGCAGCGACGCCGCGUGAACGAAGAAGGUAUUCGUAUCGUAAAGUUCUGUCCUAUGGGAAGAUAAUGACAGUACCAUAGAAGAAAGCGCCGGCUAAAUACGUG